Molecule: non-coding RNA, 3581 nt
Organism: Cyanistes caeruleus (blue tit)
Lineage: Eukaryota; Metazoa; Chordata; Aves; Passeriformes; Paridae
Source: RefSeq, a predicted model, not a curated record
UCCAAAGGAGGGACACUAAGAGGGUGGAGGGCUGUGAGGAGCGGCCAAGGGCAGGUGGGCAGCCUGUGUGGAGGAGGUGAGGGGAGGCCUCAGGGACCUGCUGCCUCCUCCUGAGGGGAAGAGGAGCAGACACUGAUCACUGUGAGAUUCAACUCCUGGUGGUGCGUUCCCAUUCUUCCUUUCUCGAGCAAAUGAAAACAAGAUGCUUCUGUUGAAAGAUAAAUAGACAAAAUUAGUAGAGGGUAUGAAUCCCUAUCCUUCCAUCAGGUGAUAUUUAUGAGCAAUACUUGACAUACAUAUCAUGUUUGGAGUGUUGGCUUUGCUUGGCAUUUUUGAUCUAGCAAUUUUCUGCUUGAGGAGUAACUUUGUUCUGCCUGUUUCCUCUUCUGAUGGAAAGAAUACAUUUCAGCCUUCUAGAGGUAGAAUAGCUGUAUUUUAAUUUUUUUUUAUAUCCAUAAACCACAGUAUCAUAAAGUCAGUUUCAAGCUGUUCAUAAAAAUAUAUUUUCUGUGAGUAGAGGAAACAUUUGUGAAGAAACAGAUGAUUUCUUUGGCAUGCAAAUGGAGUUUAUCAAGGUAAUACAGCAAUAUGCAUCUGCCAGCUGGGGUCAGGGCACCACACCCGAUUUAAAUCACUGAAUUAAUGCAGGGGGACAGGUUUGAUGGCCUGCUCUCACCCCUCCCUUUGCAAUGAAACCCAGGGAUGCCACCAAGACUCAGACAUUGAGAGUGCUGCCAAACUCCUGUCCUUCCUUCCACUUAAGUUUAAUGUUGGUUUUAGAACUUUCAUACCCAAAAUCUGGGAAGAGAGUUAAGAUCGCUCUAAUUAUUUUUAAACACAUGCAGGUUCUCAUGAUUUUGUUUGCUGCUAUUGUAUUGACAUUUUAUUGUAUUGAUAUUUUAUUGUAUUGGUAUUGUAGCACCCCACAAUUGGUGUUUAGUGCUGCAGAACUCCCUUUGGAUUAGAGAUGAGAGUGCUUUAGGAGACUCCAGCUUUACCCAGAUGACCUCUCUCAAAUUCAUUUUACAAGGUGAAGGCCAGACCCCAGUUCCUAGUUCCUCUCUGUAUAAUUGAAUUUGAAAUCAAUAGCGUUAUGGAUUUUAAAAAAUAAAGAAAGUCUCCUUUUUUUCUCAAUGGUAUUUGCACAACACAAAUUUGCCAUAGGUAGAUCAAUGACUUUAGGCUACUGUAGUGUGAUAAAUCAGUGUCUCUUACAACUCUAAUCCUUGUAUCCAAACUAUUUUUAACUUCAGGAUCCUCUCAAUUGUCAUUUUUAACUCCAGGAUGCUCUCAACUGUCAUUUGAACUGACACUCAUUAAAAACCUUCAUUUGUUUUGAUUAUGCUGGAAAAAGUUAUUCUGAAGUCUUUCUCCAACUGUGUAAAUGUUUAAUCAUUCAGGCUUGGUACAGGAUGAAAAUAAUCUCUUCCUCAACUUGAAAUGAGAUCAAAAUGACACAGAUUUGCCACCAGUAAAAACUCAUUUUCUGUUUGCUUUAACAGAGUGGUUUCAGAAGCUAAAGGAGGAUGUGAUGCCUGUGGGUAGCUAGAGCUGGUCACGUCUGUGCGUAAUUGUUGUGUAAAAACAGAAUUUUGGAUUGUGGUUGUUAAAAGAUGUUGCUGUUUGGAAUUUUUAAGUGCUUGAAGCUAAGCAUGGGUUAGGCCUUGGAGGCCUGAAGCUGCAGCUGCUGAUAUUUUGGGGAGCACUGAUAAUGAAUAGGCAGAGGAAAGAUGGGAUUUAUACAGGACAAGACCACAGUCAUUUGGUUGCUCAAGUCAUUGACAAAUUCAUGAUAAUCUUCAUGAAAAGCCCUUGGAAAAUAAUCCAAGAAAGCAGUCAGGAUAAAAAUAAUGUUUUACCCUUUUUUGUUCAUGUAUCAGUGAUGUAGCUGGAUGUGAAAAUGCUCUGAAUGAUGUUAUGAACAUAAUUAUUGGCAUUAUUACACUGCAGAUAACGGAACCCCAGAUUUGCAGUUGCUCAGUUAACCCUGUUAGCAAGACAAACGGCAGCAGCAAAAUGCGCAUUAUUGGAGCACGAGCAGAAUUAUUGCUGGUUUUGUUAUUGUCAUUUUGUUCACUUGUAAAAGUGAUCAACACAGAGGCAGCUUGGCAGCUGGGGAACCCAGCACGAGGGGGGAUGUUUGGGCGCAGGGACUGUCUGUGCCCUGGCUCAGAGACGUCGCAUUUCCGAGGCACUGAAGCUCCCGGCAAAGACUUGGAGAAUGUUAAUGACUUUUAGCUGGUUUCACUGGAGCCCUGCGCUCUCUGGGCAGCCUGGGCUCUGCUCUCACCCACCUCCCUGCUUAUAAACCAUGUCACAGCAUCCUAGGUGGUCCAGGGCUGUGCUUUGGCUUGGCAUUGAUACUUUUAUCUUCCUAGGAAGUAGAAAAGGUCAAACAGUUAAUGAACUUAUUUUAAGGAAUAUCAAGUCCUGUUCCAGGCAGAUAUUCAGCUCUGACAACAUCGGGUGCCUGAGCCAAGGGCCCAUUUUGUUGUCCAGCAGCUCCUGCUGAGAAACCCAUUUUGUAGAUAAUAGAGAGCCCACUCCAGGGUGGGAGGCAGUGGAGGAAAGCUGCUCCUUGGAAAGGUCUCUCCUUCAAUAGCUGCAAGUUCAGGGGAAUUUGUGCAUCUCCAGCAGUCUGGGAUACCUGGCAGAGCUGCAGCAAGCAGGUUUCAGGGAGACAGGAGCAGGUUUUAUAGCUGUGAACUCCAAUUCCACACUCCAAAAAACCCCAUACCUUUCUGUUCUGCCAACACAGGACAAGAUGACAACAGCAGGCUUUUCUUUUAAAAAUAAGUCAUGCCAUGAAUAUUCAGCUAUAAAUCAUAGAUCUCAACCCUUUGGGGGAGUAGCCAUCCAUUUUUUUGCCAUCCAAAAAAAUUUCUAAACUGUUCCUAGAGACAGUGGGAUAUUGAACCGAGUUUAAUAAAACAGGGGUGUAACAUUGAGGCACUCGUGGUUCACCCAGAUAAAAAAUUCCUGUGGGAUUUCUCUCUCCUCCUUGCUGCUGCCUCUCUCACUAAUCUACUGCUGCACAUCUUCCCUGACGAAUUAAAAAUUCUCUAUCUACAUUUAUUUCUAUCUAGGUGAGGUUUUUAAAUCAGUUUAUCCGCCAGCAGCCAAAGAGUGCUGUGAAAACAUCUCCAGCCGCUGCGGUGAGCCGCUGGUGACCCGGAAUGUUCUGCUUGCCGUGAUUCCCUUGGGAGUUUAUUGGAUCACAGCACAUCUGGGCAGAGGUCAGAGCUGCUCAGGAAAACAGGCAAGCCUGGCUCGGCUUCUUUUUAAGCGCCAAGGUGUUGUUUGGCUCCGUGAAUCCCUCCUUGCAGCAAUCGGGCACAGUGCUCCCGAGUUAAGGACAGGAAUUGAUGGAGGAAAUCCAUUCCUUAGCAAGGAAUUUUUGCUGUUUAUGGCAUUUUUAGAGUCUUUAGGAAGCACCUGUAGAAAUGGCGUGGGACAAUACAGAAAAUUAGAAAUACUCUGUAUGAAUAGUUACCUGUUUCGUCCAGAAGUGGAGCAAGCACAGCCUGAUUGGGAACAUGACUUAGAAAAUCAGGCAAUAUUAAUAAAAAGGACAGUGGGAA